UCUGAAUGUACUUAAUGCUGCUGAAUUGCAUACUUAAAAAUGAUUAAAAUGGUCAUUUUAUGUUACGUAUAUUUUACCACAAUAAAAAAAGAAUAUAUUGCAAAACCUGUGAACGUGCCAAUUACAUUCACAAUGUGUACAAAUAUCACCACCAGCCUCUCCCCCAGAACAGAUCUUCCUUAGCGCAGAGUCAGGGGAAAUGCGAUCUGCCCGUGUUCACCCGCUGCUCAGCUGGUGGGCUCAGCUGGCCCGGAAUAGCUUUGCUACACCAGGAACUGCGGGAGAUGGGAGCUGCCACUUGGUUUCCAAACCCAGUGGACUAGCUCUUCCACCACACAGGGCUGUGGGGGAAGCCGGGGCUGUGUUCACCAGCUGCCCACUCACUCAGCUCCUCUUUACUGAGCGGGGGUUUAGGGUGGAGGAACUGGUUCCGCUGCCUGGCUGCCCACCCAGAAGAGGUCAUCUGCACGGAGCUGCCACUUGGCUGUCGUGCCCACUGGAAUGAUCUUCCCCAACGUGGAUCUGGUAUCACCAGGAAAAGAGGGGAGAGUGGCCGCAGCCAGUCUCAGGUCUGUGUAAAAACUUGCUGGAGAUGGUGCAGUGGUGGCCAAGCCCUUUGCUCGGGGAUCGAGCAGUCUGAAUAAGGUGAAGCAUGCGAUCAGAGGAACCUGAGAUCAAAGGCGUCUCCACAGGAGGAGUGAGAAGCGGCGACUGACUUGAUGUUGUACGGACAGAGUCUGCGAAACUCGAGCUGAGGACUUUCAAAGUUAUUCUGACUCGCAUAACCUGCCCUCUGAGUGAGCUGUUUUCUUCUCUAGACUUGCCGAAGGUGGGGCAGGAAGCCGUCCUUCAACAGUGACAAACAACACCGCUAUCGUCUCUGCAAACCCAGAAUGAUUAAUAGGUUUACCUCAUUCAUCCCCUCAUCUGACACAGAUCAUUUGCUUAUUAAGAUCUGCCCUGGGAAAAGCUCGCAGUGCCUAUUUCAAAUGUCAGCUUAAGAUGACUGUUCAGUUGUGAUCCAGAAUUUUAACGGCCCCUGCACGUUGCCUCUCAUCUCUGCCUUGUCCUUGAGCUCACCCUCCCUGCCCACGUGCAUUCUGAACAGCAAGGAUUUCUGGCUGGACUUGUUGUUUGGGUCAAGUUCAGAGAGUGUUCUUGGUUUCUUUCAUCAUCUAAUAAAGACGAGGGCGGAGGUCGGGGGAAGCACGUCUUAGAGAUGAAGGGCAAAUUGAGAUCUUUGGUUCAAAGACUGUGGCUCCAUCACUUUCUCUGACUUAGAAAUCGUAUUCAUCCCGCGCUUCCUACUGCAAAUCACUCUGGUGCGACGUAACAAUGCAGCAGAUACACCAGGACUUUUCCCACAUCACACUACAAACACAGCCACCCUCUCUGGGGAACCUAAGAGAAACUUUUGGGCUUCCACUUCCCCUCCAUUUGUUUGAAGGAUCAAGAGAACACAGUUCCAUUUUCAACAAAAAUUAAAAAGGAAAAUCAUGAAAAGAGCCAACCUCCUUUUUUUUCCUCUCUUAAUAUAUUGUUGCAUCCAGAGAAGAGGAAACAGUGAGCGCCACUGAUACUGGGUCCCCAGAGAUCCCAUAAGGGUCACUCCCCAGCUGUCACAUGAGCGUGCUCUUCCUCCACUUGCAGAGCAGAUUCGUAAUGGGACUGGAAGUUACUCUUGGCUCAGCUCUGCGGCGUAAAGAAAUGAAAAGCCACAAUGCUUCAGGGACCUGAGCUGUGCCCACACCUGGGGUUUCACAGGCAGGACAGUUUUCAGCUUUAAGGCUUUGGAGGUUUGGAGAAAGGAGAUUUGAAAAACUGAGAGCGGUGUUCCUGCUGUCCUCCGUAGGCCUGCUAAGAGCUGUGAGCUCCAAAGGGCGGGGGCGAACUCCUUCCACACGUUUUUGUUUUUAUUUCUUCUUGAGGAGCUGUCUAGGGGGCCAUAGGCCAAUUCACUUGAGGACUCAACAUGUGACAGCAUGUCGUUUCUUCUGCACUGUUGCAAAAUGACAUGUGCCCUGAAUAAAAUUUUCCAGAUUACUGGACUGUCCCCCUUUGUGAACCGAAUAGCUUAAAAUGAAAAUGUAGUUGGAGUGCACGUAGUGAAUAAGUGUGGCAGAGACGAUUAACUGCUCUUUGAGCAUGCGACGUCAUUAUCAUGAACAUGGAUUAUUUUCCCGGCUGGAUGGAGACGUCCUCAGGGUCUACGGAGAUGAAAAGGACUCUUUGCAGCCUCACCUUAUGGUCUCGAAGUCCUGGCCUCCUUCCAUUGGUUUUCUGAUUUCUAACUCUGCGCUCACUUGUCUUCAGUAUGCCAUUUCUUCCCAGGAUCUGUGUCUGAGAAGGUUCAUUGUCUUUUCAGUCUCGACUACUUACUUCUUCACCAAGUAUCACUCAGAACAAAACUGAGAGAAGCCAGAUGGACUUAAUUCCACAUACAUUACUUGGUCAAUAUGCUCUCUUGCCAGCUGAGUAAGGAGCAGGAGUUUUAUGAUAGCUGUAAAAAUCUAAUUUAUCCCUUCUGUCAUUAUGUGAGGAGGUGGACUUCAUGGCUCCUCAUUUAUUUUGUACUUAGAAAAAUAUGCAUUUAUCUUAUUAUUAAAAUUUGCCUUCGGUAGAACAAGUUGGUUGGACCUCCAAAACAGAAUGUGACCCAUCCAUUUCUAACUUGUUUGCUGCCUCCUUAAUCCAGGCCAAUAUCAUCUCUCACAGACUAUUGAAACUGCCUCUUAAUGGUCUCCCAGCAUCAUCCUGGGUUCCUUCCAACCCCUCCUCCACACUCAAGUCAGAACGAGCUUUAGAAAGUGUGAAUCUCUUGUUCCACCCAUGCUCAGUGGCCUUCCACGUCAGCCACACCUUGCACCACUCCCUCUCCUGCGGCGUUCUGCCGAGUUGUUUUCUCUCCUUGGCCACACUCCCAUGGACAUCUCUGCCCAGUGUGGCACAACUCUGAUGGGCAAACCUUGCCCCCUCAGCUGCCCGUCACGUUGGGUGAGGCGUGGUCAGGCCUGCAUCACAGUUCUGCACCAAUCUUCCUUCAUCCCCCUUCUCUUCGCUGGCACUAAUCCCUAAUAAACACCUCACACCUGAA
This is a long non-coding RNA of Equus quagga, 3094 nucleotides long. RefSeq lists it as uncharacterized. The record is from RefSeq and is a predicted model, not a curated record. The transcript is spliced from 4 exons. Lineage: Eukaryota; Metazoa; Chordata; Mammalia; Perissodactyla; Equidae.